AUAAAAAUAGCUAAAAUAACCUACUUUUACUGAAAUAAAAUUGCUGUAAUGCCAAACUGAAACCAGUGUGUAUUAUUUGUUAUCCACAGGGAAAUAUUUCAAGCUGGAGGCCAGGAGAAAUUAUAGCCCAUGACCUUCAUGUCUUAGCUUGACCCAACAUGUCAUUACAGCUAAACCUGGUUAAGAUGAACAGGAAUAAUCCAGUCAGAGUAAGUUAGGUGGAGAGAAGAUGAGCUUGCUCAUUGCUCUGAUGUACUGAGAGCCAUCCAGGGAUGAAAGUUUUAGGCUGCUCAUGGGUAGCAGGGCCCUGUUAGUGUAAUAUCUGAGCAAUGGAGUCUGUGCUUGGAUUGCCUCCAGAUACACCUAAAAGUGGAGAACAGAACAAAAGUGCAGAACAGAACCUGGAUGUGCUGAAUGUACCUGUGUGAUGUCAUCAGUAUCCUGGGCUGCAUUCUGAAAGACGGACUGGCAGUGCUGCAGAUAUUGCUCAUACAGGGUUCGUGUGUAUGCAUCAGUGUCCAGCACCUCAUCGCUGGGCUCUGUUCUCCUCAGUCCUCCAAUGCUACCGGUUACCAAGAUCCUUCCACAUCUUCUUCUCUUCAUGUCCGGUAGAAAGGUCUGUAUGGUGCGAAUGGUGCCCAGCAGGUUGACCUCUAGGACGUCACGUAUAGUGUCCAUUGAGAGGGUCUCCAGAGGUCCCAUCAGACCUACACCUGCAUUACAAACUAACAUCAAGAUAAUGAAAGAGAAGCAGAGCAUCAAGUAUGGACUGCUGGUCUGUAACAUCCAUCUGGAGAAUGGCCAUAGUAUCCGCAUGUAAUCCUCUUACAGUCUCCAAUAGACGUUGUUUCUUGUCCAAGUUGCGCAUGGUAGCAUAGACUAAGCAAAAUAAAU
Molecule: non-coding RNA, 894 nt
Organism: Paramisgurnus dabryanus
Lineage: Eukaryota; Metazoa; Chordata; Actinopteri; Cypriniformes; Cobitidae
Source: RefSeq, a predicted model, not a curated record